CUAAGUACCCGGAGGAAGAGAAAGCAAAUGCGAUUUCCUGAGUAGCGGCGAGCGAAACGGAAUUAGCCCAAACCAAGAGGCUUGCCUCUUGGGGUUGUAGGACACUCUAUACGGAGUUACAAAGGAACGAAGUAAAUGAAGCGACCUGGAAAGGUCCGUCGAAGAAGGUAACAACCCUGUAGUUGAAACUUCGUUCCCUCUUGAGUGGAUCCUGAGUACGGCGGAACACGUGAAAUUCCGUCGGAAGCUGGGAGGACCAUCUCCCAAGGCUAAAUACUACCUAGUGACCGAUAGUGAACCAGUACCGUGAGGGAAAGGUGAAAAGCACCCCGGAAGGGGAGUGAAAGAGAUCCUGAAACCGUGUGCCUACAAGUAGUCAGAGCCCGUUAACGGGUGAUGGCGUGCCUUUUGUAGAAUGAACCGGCGAGUUACGAUCCCAUGCAAGGUUAAGCUGAUAAGGCGGAGCCGUAGCGAAAGCGAGUCUGAAUAGGGCGUUUAGUA
Molecule: ribosomal RNA, 501 nt
Filed under: Priestia aryabhattai
Lineage: Bacteria; Bacillati; Bacillota; Bacilli; Caryophanales; Bacillaceae
Description: partial 23S ribosomal RNA
Rfam family: Bacterial large subunit ribosomal RNA
Source: RNAcentral